This 378-nucleotide ribosomal RNA is filed under the name uncultured bacterium. RNAcentral's name for it is "bacterial SSU rRNA". It matches the Rfam family "Bacterial small subunit ribosomal RNA", at positions 975 to 1375 of the family's 1533-position model. The record is from RNAcentral.
CAACCCUUGACAUCCCGGGACCGGCCCAGAGAUGGGUCUUUCACUUCGGUGACUCGGUGACAGGUGCUGCAUGGCUGUCGUCAGCUCGUGUCGUGAGAUGUUCGGUUAAGUCCGGCAACGAGCGCAACCCACGUCUUUAGUUGCCAGCAGUUCGGCUGGGCACUCUAAAGAAACUGCCCGUGAUAAGCGGGAGGAAGGUGUGGAUGACGUCAAGUCCUCAUGGCCCUUACGGGUUGGGCUACACACGUGCUACAAUGGUGCCUACAGUGGGUUAAUCUCCAAAAGGCAUCUCAGUUCGGAUUGGGGUCUGCAACUCGACCCCAUGAAGUCGGAAUCGCUAGUAAUCGCGUAACAGCAUGACGCGGUGAAUACGUUCCC